UCCGGUUUGGCACCGGCAGUCUCCCUAGAGUUCCCGGCAUUACCCGCUAGCAACUAAGGACAGGGGUUGCGCUCGUUGCGGCACUUAAGCCAACACCUCACGGCACGAGCUGACGACAGCCAUGCAGCACCUGUGCUGGCCCCUUACGGACACGGGCUUUCACCCGCUUUAACCAGCAUGUCAAGCCUAGGUAAGGUUCUUCGCGUUGCAUCGAAUUAAGCCACAUGCUCCGCCGCUUGUGCGGGUCCCCGUCAAUUCCUUUGAGUUUUAGCCUUGCGGCCGUACUCCCCAGGCGGGGCGCUUAAUGCGUUAGCUUCGCCACAAACGGGGUCGAUUCCGUUUACAGCAAAUGCGCACCGUUUACAGCCGGGACUAC
This 376-nucleotide unclassified non-coding RNA is filed under the name uncultured Actinomycetes bacterium. Its description in RNAcentral is "uncultured actinobacterium contains 16S-23S intergenic spacer region". The record is from RNAcentral. Lineage: Bacteria; Bacillati; Actinomycetota; Actinomycetes.